AGGUUAGCGGCGGACGGGUGAGUAACACGUGGGCAACCUGCCCUGUAGAUCGGGAUAACAUCGAGAAAUCGGUGCUAAUACCGGAUAAUUUCUAGAAUCUCAUGGUUCUAGAAUAAAAGAUGGCUCCGGCUAUCACUACGGGAUGGGCCCGCGGCGCAUUAGCUAGUUGGUAAGGUAACGGCUUACCAAGGCGACGAUGCGUAGCCGACCUGAGAGGGUGAUCGGCCACACUGGGACUGAGACACGGCCCAGACUCCUACGGGAGGCAGCAGUAGGGAAUCUUCCGCAAUGGACGAAAGUCUGACGGAGCAACGCCGCGUGAGUGAUGAAGGAUUUCGGUUCGUAAAGCUCUGUUGUUAGGGAAGAACAAGUGCCGUUCAAAUAGGGCGGCACCUUGACGGUACCUAACCAGAAAGCCACGGCUAACUACGUGCCAGCAGCCGCGGUAAUACGUAGGUGGCAAGCGUUGUCCGGAAUUAUUGGGCGUAAAGCGCGCGCAGGCGGUCUUUUAAGUCUGAUGUGAAAGCCCACGGCUCAACCGUGGAGGGUCAUUGGAAACUGGGAGACUUGAGUACAGAAGAGGAGAGUGGAAUUCCACGUGUAGCGGUGAAAUGCGUAGAUAUGUGGAGGAACACCAGUGGCGAAGGCGACUCUCUGGUCUGUAACUGACGCUGAGGCGCGAAAGCGUGGGGAGCAAACAGGAUUAGAUACCCUGGUAGUCCACGCCGUAAACGAUGAGUGCUAGGUGUUAGGGGUUUCGAUGCCCUUAGUGCCGAAGUUAACACAUUAAGCACUCCGCCUGGGGAGUACGACCGCAAGGUUGAAACUCAAAGGAAUUGACGGGGGCCCGCACAAGCAGUGGAGCAUGUGGUUUAAUUCGAAGCAACGCGAAGAACCUUACCAGGUCUUGACAUCCUUUUG
This 921-nucleotide ribosomal RNA is filed under the name Halalkalibacter alkalisediminis. RNAcentral's name for it is "bacterial SSU rRNA". It matches the Rfam family "Bacterial small subunit ribosomal RNA", at positions 89 to 994 of the family's 1533-position model. Lineage: Bacteria; Bacillati; Bacillota; Bacilli; Caryophanales; Bacillaceae. The record is from RNAcentral.